GAUGAACGCUGGCGGCGUGCUUAAUACAUGCAAGUCGAGCGAACGGACGAGAAGCUUGCUUCUCUGAUGCUAGCGGCGGACGGGUGAGUAACACGUGGAUAACCUACCUAUAAGACUGGGAUAACUUCGGGAAACCGGAGCUAAUACCGGAUAAUAUUUUGAACCGCAUGGUUCAAAAGUGAAAGACGGUCUUGCUGUCACUUAUAGAUGGAUCCGCGCUGCAUUAGCUAGUUGGUAAGGUAACGGCUUACCAAGGCAACGAUGCAUAGCCGACCUGAGAGGGUGAUCGGCCACGCUGGAACUGAGACACGGUCCAGACUCCUACGGGAGGCAGCAGUAGGGAAUCUUCCGCAAUGGGCGAAAGCCUGACGGAGCAACGCCGCGUGAGUGAUGAAGGUCUUCGGAUCGUAAAACUCUGUUAUUAGGGAAGAACAUAUGUGUAAGUAACUGUGCACAUCUUGACGGUACCUAAUCAGAAAGCCACGGCUAACUACGUG
This 497-nucleotide ribosomal RNA is filed under the name uncultured bacterium. RNAcentral's name for it is "partial 16S ribosomal RNA". It matches the Rfam family "Bacterial small subunit ribosomal RNA", at positions 28 to 507 of the family's 1533-position model. The record is from RNAcentral.